GACGAACGCUGGCGGCAUGCUUAACACAUGCAAGUCGAACGGAAAGGCCUGCUUUCCCUUGUGGAUUGCGGGUACUCGAGUGGCGAACGGGUGAGUAACACGUGAGUGAUCUGCCCCCAACUUGGGUAUAAGCCUGGGAAACUGGGUCUAAUUCCCGAUAGGACUGCAGGGUGGUGCCUGUGGUGAAAAACGAUUUUCUAGUGGUUGGGGAUGAGCUCGCGGCCUAUCAGCUUGUUGGUGGGGUAAUGGCCUACCAAGGCGGCGACGGGUAGCCGGCCUGGGAGGGUGGACGGCCACAUUGGGACUGGGAUACGGCCCAGACUCCUACGGGAGGCAGCAGUGGGGAAUAUUGCACAAUGGGCGGAAGCCUGAUGCAGCGACGCCGCGUGGGGGAUGACGGCCUUCGGGUUGUAAACUCCUUUCGACCGCGAGGAAGCCACCUGGUUGGAAGGGUGGUGACGGUAGUGGUAGAAGAAGCACCGGCUAACUACGUG
Molecule: ribosomal RNA, 494 nt
Filed under: uncultured bacterium
Lineage: Bacteria
Description: partial 16S ribosomal RNA
Rfam family: Bacterial small subunit ribosomal RNA
Source: RNAcentral